CACAUGCUACAAUGGCCGGUACAAAGGGCUGCGAUGCCGCGAGGUUAAGCGAAUCCUUUAAAGCCGGUCUCAGUUCGGAUCGGGGUCUGCAACUCGACCCCGUGAAGUCGGAGUCGCUAGUAAUCGCAGAUCAGCAACGCUGCGGUGAAUACGUUCCCGGGCCUUGUACACACCGCCCGUCACGUCAUGAAAGUCGGUAACACCCGAAGCCAGUGGCCUAACCCUUUGGGAGGGAGCUGUCGAAGG
This 246-nucleotide ribosomal RNA is filed under the name Mycobacterium marinum. RNAcentral describes it as "partial 16S ribosomal RNA". It matches the Rfam family "Bacterial small subunit ribosomal RNA", at positions 1219 to 1462 of the family's 1533-position model. Lineage: Bacteria; Bacillati; Actinomycetota; Actinomycetes; Mycobacteriales; Mycobacteriaceae. The record is from RNAcentral.